GAUGAAGAACGCAGUGAAAUGCGAUAAGUAAUGUGAAUUGCAGAAUUCAGUGAAUCAUCGAAUCUUUGAACGCACAUUGCGCCCAUUAGUAUUCUAGUGGGCAUGCCUGUUCGAGCGUCAUUAAGUCCACUUAAGCCCUGCUUAGUGUUGGGAGACUGCUCCAGCGGUGCUACCCUGUAGCUACCCUGCAGCUCCUCAAAGACAGCGGCGGAGUUGUGGUAUCCUCUGAGCUUAGUAACUUGUUCUAGCUUUCGAGUACACCACUUCCCCUGCCGUAAAACCCUUAAUUUUUAAUGGUUGACCUCGGAUCAGGUAGGAAUACCCGCUGAACUUAAGCAUAUCAAUAAGCGGAGG
Molecule: unclassified non-coding RNA, 354 nt
Filed under: soil metagenome
Description: partial contains 5.8S ribosomal RNA, internal transcribed spacer 2, and large subunit ribosomal RNA
Rfam family: 5.8S ribosomal RNA (bases 1-120)
Source: RNAcentral